UCCAAAUUGGUGUAAUGGAUAACAUUUGACUUUCCGAAAGUUGAGAAGCUCCGGAAGUGUUGAGCUCAGGGUUCGAUUCCCUGAUAUGGAU
Non-coding RNA from Hypoxylon sp. FL1150, 91 nucleotides. The record is from the annotation of a GenBank genome assembly. NCBI's taxonomy places the organism in Eukaryota, Fungi, Ascomycota, Sordariomycetes, Xylariales, Hypoxylaceae.